This 496-nucleotide ribosomal RNA is filed under the name uncultured bacterium. Its description in RNAcentral is "partial 16S ribosomal RNA". It matches the Rfam family "Bacterial small subunit ribosomal RNA", at positions 28 to 507 of the family's 1533-position model. The record is from RNAcentral.
GAUGAACGCUGGCGGCGUGCCUAAUACAUGCAAGUAGAACGCUGAAGGAGGAGCUUGCUCUUUCCGGAUGAGUUGCGAACGGGUGAGUAACGCGUAGGUAACCUGCCUGGUAGCGGGGGAUAACUAUUGGAAACGAUAGCUAAUACCGCAUAACAGUAGAUAUUGCAUGAUAUUUGCUUGAAAGGGGCAAUUGCUCCACUACCAGAUGGACCUGCGUUGUAUUAGCUAGUUGGUGAGGUAACGGCUCACCAAGGCGACGAUACAUAGCCGACCUGAGAGGGUGAUCGGCCAAACUGGGAAUGAGAAAAGGCCCAGACUCAUACGGGAGGCAGCAGUAGGGAAUCUUCGGCAAUGGACGGAAGUCUGACCGAGAAACGCCGCGUGAGUGAAGAAGGUUUUCGGAUCGUAAAGCUCUGUUGUAAGAGAAGAAAGAGAGUGAGAGUGGAAAGUUCACACUGUGACGGUAACUUACCAGAAAGGGACGGCUAACUACGUG